Molecule: ribosomal RNA, 529 nt
Filed under: uncultured bacterium
Lineage: Bacteria
Description: bacterial SSU rRNA
Rfam family: Bacterial small subunit ribosomal RNA
Source: RNAcentral
UGAGGAAUAUUGCCCAAUGGAGGAAACUCUGAGGCAGCGACGCCGCGUGGGUGAAGAAGGCCUUCGGGUCGUAAAGCCCUUUUCUGUGUGACGAGAACGGACGGUAGCACAGGAAAAAGUCUCGGCUAACUACGUGCCAGCAGCCGCGGUAAAACGUAGGAGGCAAGCGUUAUCCGGAGUUACUGGGCGUAAAGCGUGCGUAGGCGGAUGGGUAAGUGGGUCGUGAAAGCGCCGGGCUAAACCGGGCGAGGACGAACUAGACUGCUCAUCUAGAGGCGGAUAGAGGGGUGCGGAAUUCCGGGUGUAGCGGUGAAAUGUGUAGAGAUCCGGAGGAACACCAGUGGUGCAAACGGCGCCCUGGGUCCGAACUGACGCUGAGGCACGAAAGCGUGGGGAGCGAACGGGAUUAGAGACCCCGGUAGUCCACGCCGUAAACGAUGUCAACUAGGUGUCCACGCGCCUACGGGUGCGGGGGUGCCGAAGCCAACGCUAUAAGUUGACCGCCUGGGGAGUACGGUCGCAAGGCUAA